ACGUAGGGUGCAAGCGUUAAUCGGAAUUACUGGGCGUAAAGCGUGCGCAGGCGGUCGUGCAAGACAGAUGUGAAAUCUCCGGGCUUAACCUGGGAACUGCAUUUGUGACUGCAAGGCUGGAGUGCGGCAGAGGGGGAUGGAAUUCCGCGUGUAGCAGUGAAAUGCGUAGAGAUGCGGAGGAACACCGAUGGCGAAGGCAGCCCCCUGGGCUGACACUGACGCUCAGGCACGAAAGCGUGGGGAGCGAACAGGA
Molecule: ribosomal RNA, 253 nt
Filed under: uncultured prokaryote
Description: partial 16S ribosomal RNA
Rfam family: Bacterial small subunit ribosomal RNA
Source: RNAcentral